Molecule: transfer RNA, 84 nt
Filed under: Accumulibacter sp.
Lineage: Bacteria; Pseudomonadati; Pseudomonadota; Betaproteobacteria
Description: tRNA-Tyr
Source: RNAcentral
GGCAUGGUGUAGCCCGAUGGGUAAGGGUGGUAGCCGGGGAUACCCCGGUGGAACGGAUGUUGGUUCGAGUCCAACCCCAUGUCA